GACUUUGAUCCUGGCUCAGGAUGAACGCUAGCUACAGGCUUAACACAUGCAAGUCGAGGGGAAACGACAUCGAAAGCUUGCUUUUGAUGGGCGCCGACCGGCGCACGGGUGAGUAACGCGUAUCCAACCUGCCCACCACUUGGGGAUAACCUUGCGAAAGUAAGACUAAUACCCAAUGAUAUCUCUAGAAGACAUCUGAAAGAGAUUAAAGAUUUAUCGGUGAUGGAUGGGGAUGCGUCUGAUUAGCUUGUUGGCGGGGUAACGGCCCACCAAGGCAACGAUCAGUAGGGGUUCUGAGAGGAAGGUCCCCCACAUUGGAACUGAGACACGGUCCAAACUCCUACGGGAGGCAGCAGUGAGGAAUAUUGGUCAAUGGACGAGAGUCUGAACCAGCCAAGUAGCGUGCAGGAUGACGGCCCUAUGGGUUGUAAACUGCUUUUAUAAGGGAAUAAAGUGAGUCUCGUGAGACUUUUUGCAUGUACCUUAUGAAUAAGGACCGGCUAAUUCCGUGCCAGCAGCCGCGGUAAUACGGAAGGUCCGGGCGUUAUCCGGAUUUAUUGGGUUUAAAGGGAGCGUAGGCCGGAGAUUAAGCGUGUUGUGAAAUGUAGACGCUCAACGUCUGCACUGCAGCGCGAACUGGUUUCCUUGAGUACGCACAAAGUGGGCGGAAUUCGUGGUGUAGCGGUGAAAUGCUUAGAUAUCACGAAGAACUCCGAUUGCGAAGGCAGCUCACUGGAGCGCAACUGACGCUGAAGCUCGAAAGUGCGGGUAUCGAACAGGAUUAGAUACCCUGGUAGUCCGCACGGUAAACGAUGGAUGCCCGCUGUUGGUCUGAAUAGGUCAGCGGCCAAGCGAAAGCAUUAAGCAUCCCACCUGGGGAGUACGCCGGCAACGGUGCAACUCAAAGGAAUUGACGGA
RNAcentral lists this ribosomal RNA (918 nucleotides) under uncultured Bacteroidota bacterium. RNAcentral's name for it is "bacterial SSU rRNA". It matches the Rfam family "Bacterial small subunit ribosomal RNA", at positions 9 to 917 of the family's 1533-position model. The record is from RNAcentral. Lineage: Bacteria; Pseudomonadati; Bacteroidota.